Canis lupus familiaris (dog) is the source of this 2519-nucleotide long non-coding RNA. RefSeq lists it as uncharacterized. The transcript is spliced from 2 exons. NCBI's taxonomy places the organism in Eukaryota, Metazoa, Chordata, Mammalia, Carnivora, Canidae. The record is from RefSeq and is a predicted model, not a curated record.
UAUGAACUAAUUGGAUGCUGGUAUAAAGAGAACUUUUCUUCCCUGUUAGGUACUGUUUAAAAUUCCAGGAGCAAUUUAUAUUUUGAAUCCUUACACUUUGGAAUGGAGCAUUAUAUUGUGGACAUAAUAAUCUAGACAUGUCACUUCUGGUGCUGACCUCAGCCCGUCUGUUUGCUGAAGGGACAGCCCUAGACUGGAAAUAGGUGCCAUUCUCCUAGUAACAGACCACCGGAUCAGAAGAGGCACUUGACCUGAGGCAUUGGUCCAUAGGUCAUCCAACAAAUUGUGAUGCCUGCAUGUAACCAAGAUAAAUUCUAGUCGAUUCUUUUUUGGGGGGAGCAGGAUAUUCAAAUUGGAACAUUUUGGAGAAACAAGAAAGCAAUCAGCAGAAGACACUGAAAAGCUGCAUAGAGAGAAGCCAUGAGAUCAAGUCAAAUCCACUGCAAACCCAAGUUAUAAGGUAGCAGAUGUUAUGAAUAAACAGAGGCAAUGAGGAAUAACUCUUGGACGAAGGAACUUGCCAAACAACAGAACAAACUCUCCUACAACCGUGAGAGGACAACAAGCAGCUGUUCACACAAAGAUUGAGACAACCCGGACCAUCUGCAGUGUAAAUGGCAGUCACGCUUGUGCUUUCUUCCAAGGACGGGUGCUCAAAAAUGUGCUCUUAUUCUUGUCACGGCCCAUGUGGGACCAUAACGCAGAGCCAGUGGGAGUUUAGCCACACCUUUACACUGGAAGGGAUAGGGGGAGGGUUCUCUCUCUCUCUCUCCCCUACCCAACCCCCUCUCCACUCUGUAAUGUGUAAAUAUACAUAUUCACACCCACUGACACUGGUAACUUCCAGCAAAGUGUAGGUUUUGUUUAGAGAGCCCAUUUUAAACAAACAGAUGAAGUGCACAUAAUAUUUUUACUACUCAAAAUCUGGACUACUUAGCAUUAAAUUGAAUCAUUGAAAGAGCUCCAAGUAAAACUGUAUAAUAUAAUGUGCUCUGCCAAUGUUUGAAUGUUUUUUUUUCCUAUGGAAUCUCAAGAAUUAUGCUUAAAAUAAAUAAAUAAAAACUACUAUCUACCCAGGAGUUUAGAUUUGUGUAGUGUGGUUUCAUAUGAAGUGAUGGGGAUAACAAUACUAUAACCCUAUCAAUGUGGCAUUCUCAGUGAAUAUACAAGUCACAAAAAAUACCACAUCCCAGAGAAAGUGCAGCAUUUGGGCAGCAUUCUUAUUACUGUGCAGACCUGAGCAAAUCAUUUAUCCCCUAAAUUCUGACAUUAUCUUUGCAAAACAAGAUUUAUCCAUCUAGUCAAGCAUUCAGCAAAUAUCUUUUGAGCAUCUAGUAUAUACCAAGGACUCUUCUAAGAACUGAGAAUAUAAAGACAAAAAUAUAUGGUCCUUGCCUUCAAGAAGUUUAUUGGCUAGCAAGAGGACAAUCAGUCAUACAAAUAAACAGUUAUAAUAUUGGUAUGCUGUAUCAUAUAUCAUAGUCUUUGUGUUGGUCUUUGAUUGCUGCUGUAACAAAUUGCUGCAAACUCAAGGACUUAACACAAUACAGAUUUAUUCUCUUAUAGUUCUAGAGGUCAGAAGUCUAAAAUUAAGGUGUUGACAGAGCUAUGACCCUUCUGGAAGCUUCAAAGGAGAAUCUUUUUCUUUGCUUUUUUUUUUAACCUUUCCCAGCUUCUAGAAGCCUACAUUCUUUGGCUCAUGGCCUCUUCCUCCAUCUUUGAAUUGUAUCAUUACAAUGCCACAUCUCCUUUUUCUAAUUUUGAUCCUCGUGUCUCCCUCAUAUAAAAACCCUUAUAAUUACACUGGCCCCACCUAAAUCACCUAAGAUAAUCUCCCUAUCCUGAGAUAAUUAACUUAAUUAUAUUUGCAAAAUCCCUUUUGACAUGUAAAUUAACAUAUUCACAGGUUCUGGGGAUUAGAACAUGAGCAUCUUUGAAGGGCCAUUAUUUCUUCUACCAUAGUAUUUAUUAUGGCAUAGAAGUGUUUUUAUAAAGUAAAAUAUAAAAGGUGGAAGAAGGUGUCCAAAUCUAAUAAGAACCAAAGAAGAGGUAAUGUCUGAGCCAGGCUGAAUAGGAGUUUGCCUGAUAGAGCCAUCAAAAGAAAGCUGAGCAAGGAGUACAAUUAAUAUCCUAUUUGCUUGAAGAAAGAGGAUCAUUCUAGAGGACCAGAAACUUACAGUUGAGAAAACCAGAAGCCCAAAGCAAUGUGAAGACUUGGUAAGAGGCUGAUGGCUGAAUAGUGGCAGGCCACAGAGGACUAGAACCCAGGUCCCUUCCUCCCAUCCAAUCUCUCAUGAAACCUUCCAAUGCUAGGAUAUAUGCCUCAGUCCAGAUGACAGGGACCUCUGCCUACUUUCCUAUUUCAAUGAAAUUAAUGAGAAUUCAAUGUGCAAAUCAACCCAUUGUUAAUUGGCAAAGUAUGGUGUUUGAUUUUUGAUUGGAAAACAUUUUUUUUCCCCAAAAACCUUCAAAGGUCUUCUGGAUUGAUAGUUUGGAGCAAUAAAAAGAUUAUAAAUAAA